ACGCUGAAGGAGGAGCUUGCUUCUCUGGAUGAGUUGCGAACGGGUGAGUAACGCGUAGGUAACCUGCCUGGUAGCGGGGGAUAACUAUUGGAAACGAUAGCUAAUACCGCAUAAUAGUAGAUGUUGCAUGACAUUUGCUUAAAAGGUGCAAUUGCAUCACUACCAGAUGGACCUGCGUUGUAUUAGCUAGUUGGUGGGGUAACGGCUCACCAAGGCGACGAUACAUAGCCGACCUGAGAGGGUGAUCGGCCACACUGGGACUGAGACACGGCCCAGACUCCUACGGGAGGCAGCAGUAGGGAAUCUUCGGCAAUGGACGGAAGUCUGACCGAGCAACGCCGCGUGAGUGAAGAAGGUUUUCGGAUCGUAAAGCUCUGUUGUAAGAGAAGAACGAGUGUGAGAGUGGAAAGUUCACACUGUGACGGUAUCUUACCAGAAAGGGACGGCUAACUACGUGCCAGCAGCCGCGGUAAUACGUAGGUCCCGAGCGUUGUCCGGAUUUAUUGGGCGUAAAGCGAGCGCAGGCGGUUAGAUAAGUCUGAAGUUAAAGGCUGUGGCUUAACCAUAGUACGCUUUGGAAACUGUUUAACUUGAGUGCAAGAGGGGAGAGUGGAAUUCCAUGUGUAGCGGUGAAAUGCGUAGAUAUAUGGAGGAACACCGGUGGCGAAAGCGGCUCUCU
Molecule: ribosomal RNA, 679 nt
Filed under: uncultured Bacilli bacterium
Lineage: Bacteria; Bacillati; Bacillota; Bacilli
Description: bacterial SSU rRNA
Rfam family: Bacterial small subunit ribosomal RNA
Source: RNAcentral